GAGUUUGAUCAUGGCUCAGAACGUACGCUGGCGGCACGCCUAACACAUGCAAGUCGAGCGGGGUAGCAAUACCUAGCGGCAGACGGGUGCGUAACAUGUGGGAAUCUGCCUUUUGGUUCGGAACAACAUGGGGAAACCUGUGCUAAUACCGGAUAAGUCCUAACGGAGAAAGUUUUAAUGCCAAAAGAUGAGCCCGCAUUUGAUUAGCUUGUUGGUGAGGUAAAAGCUCACCAAGGCUAUAAUCAAUAGCUGAUUUGAGAGGAUGAUCAGCCACACUGGGACUGAGAUACGGCCCAGACUCCUACGGGAGGCAGCAGUGGGGAAUCUUGCACAAUGGGCGAAAGCCUGAUGCAGCGAUGCCGCGUGAGUGAAGAAGGCCUUUGGGUUGUAAAGCUCUUUUGUCGGGAAAGAUAAUGACUGUACCCGAAGAAUAAGGUCCGGCUAACUUCGUGCCAGCAGCCGCGGUAAUACGAAGGGACCUAGCGUAGUUCGGAAUUACUGGGCGUAAAGAGUAUGUAGGCGGCUAGAUAAGUUAAUUGUGAAAGCCCAAAGCUUAACUUUGGAACUGCAAUUAAAACUAUUUAGCUGGAGUAUGAUAGAGGAAAGCGGAAUACAUAGUGUAGAGGUGAAAUUCGUAGAUAUUAUGUAGAACACCAGUUGCGAAGGCGGCUUUCUGGAUCAUUACUGACGCUGAGAUACGAAAGUAUGGGUAGCGAAGAGGAUUAGAUACCCUCGUAGUCCAUACCAUAAACGAUGAUUAUUAAAUGUGGGGAAUUAUUUCUCUGUAUUAUAGCUAACGCGUUAAAUAAUCCGCCUGGGGAGUACGACCGCAAGGUUAAAACUCAAAUGAAUUGACGGGGACCCGCACAAGCGGUGGAGCAUGUGGUUUAAUUCGAUGAUACGCGAGGAACCUUACCUGGGCUUAAAUGUGACCGGACAGACUGUGAAAGCAGUCCUUCUUCGGACUGGUCUCAAGGUGCUGCAUGGUUGUCGUCAGCUCGUGCUGUGAGGUGUCGGGUUAAGUCCCAUAACGAGCGCAACCCUUAUCUUUAGUUGCCAGCGAGUAAUGUCGGGGACUUUAAAGAGACUGCCCGUGUAAACGGGAGGAAGGUGGGGAUGACGUCAAAUCAUCACGGCCCUUACGUCCAGGGCUACACACGUGCUACGAUGGUGAGUACAGAUGGUUGCUGCUUGGUGACAAGUUUGCUAAUCUAUAAAACUCAUCUCAGUUCGGAUUGGAGUCUGAAACUCGACUCCAUGAAGUUGGAAUCGCUAGUAAUCGCAUAUCAGCCAUGAUGCGGUGAAUACGUUCCCGGGCCUUGUACACACCGCCCGUCAAGCCAUGGAAGUUGGGAGUGCCUAAAGUCGGAAACCAUAUAGGAUCCGCCUAGGGUAAAACCGAUAACUAGGGCUAAGUCGUAACAAGGUAACC
RNAcentral lists this ribosomal RNA (1432 nucleotides) under uncultured marine bacterium. Its description in RNAcentral is "16S ribosomal RNA". It matches the Rfam family "Bacterial small subunit ribosomal RNA". The record is from RNAcentral.